Aedes albopictus (Asian tiger mosquito) is the source of this 3627-nucleotide long non-coding RNA. RefSeq lists it as uncharacterized. NCBI's taxonomy places the organism in Eukaryota, Metazoa, Arthropoda, Insecta, Diptera, Culicidae. The record is from RefSeq and is a predicted model, not a curated record. The transcript is spliced from 3 exons.
ACUAAAAUACUAUGAUACCUUCGCAUAAUGAUACCUUGCACUCUACUCUGCUAAUGUUGCUAUGAGCAACGAACUAAUGUUUAUUCAAAUAAAAACAUGAAAAAAUUAGGCUCCGUGGCUCCGGUAGGUAAAUUAAACUUUCGACCUUGCUGGGUGGACGAAGGAGUUGCAAAGACGUGCGAUGACCUAACUGGAUUUCAGCGGGCGAUUCCCCACCAGGUGCGCCGUUGCUGCGGUUUAGCGCGUCUAAGUGAAGCGGGUUCACGGAACUGACUAUGAAUCGUCCGGAAGUUUCCCCAGAAUUGCACGAUCUGUAUAACCCGAGAGUUCCACGGCAUAAAAAAGGCGUGUUAAUUUGUGCGCAUGAAGCAGUCAUGAUUGUGUCAUGUAAAACUAGCAAUUAAAAUUUCUCAGUAUUAAUUUCCUUUUGAAUUCCCUCAUCAAUUAUCUCAAAAAAUACUCCCUGAAAUCAUCCUAAAUUCCUAACUACCAAUCUCUCAUUUCUCCUAAAACUCAUGACUAAAAAAAUAUAUAUAUUUCUGCCAGAAUUUUCCUCACAGAUACCAGACAGCAACAAGAUUCUUAUCCAGAAUACCCACUAAAUAUCAUACGCUCCCUUAGAAUGCCCAUGUAUUUAGUUCUGAUGCUGCAUGCUGGGAUAUGAGGGAAUGUAGUUGGAUAGUGGUGUAGAUAAUGAAGGAUAUUGGACGUUACUGAGAGGCCUGGAUGUCAGGGAGUCAACAACAACACAUGAAUUUAAUAUGUAGUCAGUGUUGAAUCAGGAGCUUCAGACUAAAGCUUUUCUCUGACUCCACCGGAAUUCGACCAGCUUCAGUUCCGACUAACGCCCCGUUGGUGGGAAUCGGCAGCCAAGAAUCCAAACAAACUGAAGCAUUUCAGGCUAUUUCUUUAAUUAUUACGGUGGUACAUAGAAGCCUGAUAACUUCGAGAUGACAAAUAAUGCUCAAUACCAAAAGUUAUCUAAAAAGCCUUGUAAACAACCUCCGAUUCGAAACGUUCGAAACACUUUUCUGCGAGAUUAUCAUGACACAUUGAAAUUAGUUUGCUGUUUUGAGCUACUACAUCACUGCUACUGUGAGCUACUGCGUCACAAAGUUAGUAAAAUAUAAGGUAGUCAGCCAAACGUCAAACUUGGGUACCGGGGACCAAAUGUAGUACUAGAAGUGGUACCCGGUUUGAGCCUGAGUGCUACGACUUUAUUUGGACUUUGGUAAAAUUACUAACCGUACCUAUGAUUCUCAACCGACAACAAUUCCCAGUUAAUUCCACUAAAACACUGUCAACUUAACUAGCAGUGCAGUUAACAUAACCAAAAGUAAUCUUAAUUUAACAAAUGAGCAUUGUAUUAUUAACCAUACUGUGAUGUAAAAUGCGUGUCCUGGAAAAAUUAACAAUGUUUUGUUGUUGAGACGACUAUGCUUUUAGUUGAAUUUACUACAAUGCAUUGUAAUUUCAAGCAUAUUUCAGUUACCUUAACAGAUUUUGUUGUCGGUUGAGAAUCAUAGGUACGGUUAGUAAUUUUACUAUGGAAUCGGUAGUUUCCACAACAAAAUUUAUUUCAGUGUAUGGGAAAAUACAAAAAAAAGGAAAAACUCAAGUUCCUGUAUACUUUUUGAGUUCCACUUUGGUCCCAUAUCAACUGUGCAAAAUUUCAGAUCGAUCGGAAAAACUAUAUUUUAGCGCCCGCCAUUCUUAGUUUUUCAUACGAUUUACUAUGGGGAAAUUUUACUCCUGCAAAGAAAAAUCGCUAGGAGUCACCCCUAGAGCCCUAAAAAUAAGUCGACGAAUGAUUUCUGUAGAAAAAUUCACUAGGAAUCAGACCUCUGAAGACAGCAAAGCGAUGCGACGUUCGUGGAAAAAGUUAUUAGGCCUCACCCGAUCGAUAAAAUAACAAGAUUUUAUUUUUUAUUGUUAUUCCUUACAUGUUAAACAGCGUUUGCAUGCCAUUCGAUUUUCAGUCAAUAACUUUUUUCACAUGCCUCAGAUCGCUUUGUGGUCUUCGGAGGGUUGGUUCCUCGUAAAAUUUCCAAUAGAAACCAUUCAUCGAUUUAUUUUUAGGGGUUAAGGGGCAACCUGUGGCGAUUUUUCAUUGAAAAAGUGAUUUUCCCCAUACUAAAUCGUAUGAAAACUUAAAAUGGCUGGCGCUAAAAUAUAGUUUCUCCGAUCGAUCUGAAAUUUUACACAGUUGAUAUGGGACCAAUAUGGAGCUCAAAAAGUGUACAGGAGUAAAAUGUCUUUUUGUGUCCCACGCUAGUACCUACACUCAGCGAAAAAAACUAGCGAAAUUCAUCGAAAUACCUUAUGAAAAUUUGCUAUAACUAAUUCUUAUGUCAUCCAUAAGAAUACCUUAUGAAAAUUGAUCGUGCUUGCUAUGACAAAUUUCAUAAGAUAAACUUAUGGAAAGAACAAAAAAAAUCUUAAAAUGAUGCAGACUGGAUUCGAUCCAUGAACGUCGGAAUCACCGAGCCCGUGUUUUAUCCACACGGCUACCGACGCUUGAGAAUACCAUGUUGCUAAACACGAAUAAAAGCCAAGCUGUGAGACGAUUUUACGUCAUAGAGUGACCUUAUGAAAUUCAUCCGAAUCAUUAUGAAUUAUUUAAAGUCCGUUUCAUAAGUUGGGCCUUAUGGAAAACUUAAGGUUAUUUGGCUGAGUGUACGCUGAAAAUGAGCUUAAACAUUUAUUUGCGUCACCAGGCGCCCGACGACAGAACUACAGUGGAUGCUGUCAAGAGAUCCAUCGAUCACAUCGAGCAAUCACUGCCAGCUCCCGACAACUCCUGGCUUGUACGACCCAAGGAAUUAAGCAGCAUAACCCGAAGCUUGAAGGUUAAGAAGGCGCCCGGCCAUGAUGGGAUCAGCAAUUGGCUGUUAAAACACCUUCCUCGGAAAGCCUUAGUGGUUCUCGCCAAAAUUUUCUCAGCUUGUCUAAAAUUAUGCUACUUUCCCGCUGAAUGGAAACACGCAAUAGUUGUCGCGAUCCCAAAAGCCAAAAAGGAUGCUUCCGUUCCAUCAAACUACAGGCCCAUCAGUCUACUUCCUACUCUAAGCAAACUUUUCGAGCGCAUCAUCAGUGACAAUUCGUUCGUUGAGAGCUCGUUAGAUGGGCUGUCUCGAUGGUUGAAUGUUCAAUGGUGUACACUCUGAAAUGAUUAAAAACGUUCAUCGUUUAAAUCUUAAACUUUUUUGUUUUCCCGCCGUUUACACUUUGCUUAGUUUAACAAGUAUACUUGAUUCGCCUAAAAAGUUAAACUAUGCAAGAAUUUUAUGAGCAUAUUAUAAGUAGGACUAUGUUAUCCACCGCGUCGACAAAAAAAGUUUUCAACUUGAGUCGGCCCGGCAACCGAAUUCAACAGCAGCCGACAAUUUUGAGUUCUGCAACGAUUUCCGAGUUCCACGUCCAGCGAUAUGAUCGAAUACGAUUGAAUUUUACCGAGAAAUUGAAGGUAAUUGUUCAACGUGAGUGAUUCUAACAACGAUUGAAUGGAAUUUUUGUUGCAGGCCUCAAAAUCGACCAUAUAUCUUCGGCCAACGCGCGAAACCAUCCAAGCGAUUCCUAAUCAUUCCGAGGUUGAAAAUUAAGAGACCAACAUGGCAGGGAAAGUGC